AACAAUUCGACGAGAAAGUUGACAAAGUUUACUGAUUUAAUUAAGUCGCCGACCUGCCGAAGACUCUCGAAGCACACGGUAAGCAUAUAUGGCCCCGCAUCAAGGGGUGAAUAUGUUUUCGGAUCAUCGGAUUUCACAGAAAAAAUUGUUCGGAUUUUGGAUCUAGCGAAUAUUUUCCACGGAAUUGCGGAUCUUAUUAAUACAGCGGUUUGCAGAUUUAUCUAAUAUUUUGGCUCGGAUUGUGG
Paramuricea clavata is the source of this 245-nucleotide non-coding RNA. The record is from the annotation of a GenBank genome assembly. Lineage: Eukaryota; Metazoa; Cnidaria; Anthozoa; Malacalcyonacea; Plexauridae.